AAGUUGGGCACUCUAAGUUGACUGCCGGUGACAAACCGGAGGAAGGUGGGGAUGACGUCAAAUCAUCAUGCCCCUUAUGAUUUGGGCUACACACGUGCUACAAUGGACAAUACAAAGGGCAGCGAAACCGCGAGGUCAAGCAAAUCCCAUAAAGUUGUUCUCAGUUCGGAUUGUAGUCUGCAACUCGACUACAUGAAGCUGGAAUCGCUAGUAAUCGUAGAUCAGCAUGCUACGGUGAAUACGUUCCCGGGUCUUGUACACACCGCCCGUCACACCACGAGAGUUUGUAACACCCGAAGCCGGUGGAGUAACCUUUUAGGAGCUAGCCGUCGAAGGUGGGACAAAUGAUUGGGGUGAAGUCGUAACAAGGUAGCCGUAUCGGAAGGUGCG
Molecule: ribosomal RNA, 390 nt
Filed under: Escherichia coli
Lineage: Bacteria; Pseudomonadati; Pseudomonadota; Gammaproteobacteria; Enterobacterales; Enterobacteriaceae
Description: bacterial SSU rRNA
Rfam family: Bacterial small subunit ribosomal RNA
Source: RNAcentral